GAACGAACGCUGGCGGCGUGCUUAACACAUGCAAGUCGAACGAGAAGCCUUCUUCGGAAGGUGGACAGUGGCAGACGGGUGAGUAACGCGUGGCAACCUACCCUUCACUACGGGACAACAGUUGGAAACGACUGCUAAUACCGUAUACGUCCUCCGGGAGAAAGAUUUAUCGGUGAUGGAUGGGGCCGCGUUAGAUUAGCUUGUUGGUGGGGUAAUGGCCUACCAAGGCGACGAUCUAUAGCUGGUCUGAGAGGAUGAUCAGCCACACUGGGACUGAGACACGGCCCAGACUCCUACGGGAGGCAGCAGUGGGGAAUAUUGGACAAUGGGCGCAAGCCUGAUCCAGCAACGCCGCGUGAAUGAUGAAGGCCUUAGGGUUGUAAAAUUCUUUCGCUAGGGAAGAUAAUGACUGUACCUAGUAAAGAAGCCCCGGCUAACUCCGUGCCAGCAGCCGCGGUAAUACGGAGGGGGCUAGCGUUGUUCGGAAUUACUGGGCGUAAAGCGUGCGUAGGCGGAUUAAUAAGUUAGAUGUGAAAUCCCAGGGCUCAACCCUGGAACUGCAUUUAAAACUGUUAGUCUUGAGUUCUGGAGAGGUAAGUGGAAUUCCUAGUGUAGAGGUGAAAUUCGUAGAUAUUAGGAGGAACACCAGAGGCGAAGGCGGCUUACUGGACAGAUACUGACGCUGAGGCACGAAAGUGUGGGGAGCAAACAGGAUUAGAUACCCUGGUAGUCCACACCGUAAACGAUGAGAGCUAGUUGUCUGCAAGCAUGCUUGUAGGUGACGCAGCUAACGCAUUAAGCUCUCCG
This 807-nucleotide ribosomal RNA is filed under the name uncultured Litorimonas sp. Its description in RNAcentral is "bacterial SSU rRNA". It matches the Rfam family "Bacterial small subunit ribosomal RNA", at positions 27 to 871 of the family's 1533-position model. Lineage: Bacteria; Pseudomonadati; Pseudomonadota; Alphaproteobacteria; Maricaulales; Robiginitomaculaceae. The record is from RNAcentral.